CAGUCGCCACGGGAAUACGUAGGUGGCAAGCGUCGUCCGGAAUUAUUGGGCGUAAAGGGCUCGCAGGCGGUUUCUUAAGUCUGAUGUGAAAGCCCCCGGCUCAACCGGGGAGGGUCAUUGGAAACUGGGAAACUUGAGUGCAGAAGAGGAGAGUGGAAUUCCACGUGUAGCGGUGAAAUGCGUAGAGAUGUGGAGGAACACCAGUGGCGAAGGCGACUCUCUGGUCUGUAACUGACGCUGAGGAGCGAAAGCGUGGGGAGCGAACAGGAUUAGAUACCCCAGUAGUCCCUGUCUCUUAUAC
Molecule: ribosomal RNA, 301 nt
Filed under: uncultured bacterium
Lineage: Bacteria
Description: partial 16S ribosomal RNA
Rfam family: Bacterial small subunit ribosomal RNA
Source: RNAcentral